AGUGAACGCUGGCGGCAGGCCUAACACAUGCAAGUCGAACGGCAGCACAGUAAUAGCUUGCCUCUACGGGUGGCGACUGGCGGACGAGUGAGGAAUAAAUCGCAGUCUACUGAUGCUUGGGUGCAAACGUAGGGAAAAGUACGCUAACACCCCAUACGUCCUACGGGUGUAAUCAUCGGAUCUUCAGACCUUGCGUGAUUCUAAUAGCUGAUGUCGGAUUAGCUAGUUAGCGGGGUAAAGGCCCACCAAGGCGACGAUCCGUAGCUGGUCUGAGAGGAUGAUCAGCCACACUGGAACUGAGACACGGUCCAGACUCCUACGGGAGGCAGCAGUGGGGAAUAUUGGACAAUGGGCGAAAGCCUGAUCCAGCCAUACCGCGUGAGUGAAGAAGGCCUUCGGGUUGUAAAGCCCUUUUGUUGGGGAAGAAAAGCAGCAGGUUAAUACCUCGCUGUUCUGACGGUACCCAAAGAAUAAGCACCGGCUAACUUCGUG
Molecule: ribosomal RNA, 492 nt
Filed under: uncultured bacterium
Lineage: Bacteria
Description: partial 16S ribosomal RNA
Rfam family: Bacterial small subunit ribosomal RNA
Source: RNAcentral